AAUAGAUACCCGGGUAGUCCACGCCGUAAACGUUGGGCGCUAGAUGUGGGGGCCAUUCCACGGUUUCCGCGUCGUAGCUAACGCAUUAAGCGCCCCGCCUGGGGAGUACGGCCGCAAGGCUAAAACUCAAAGGAAUUGACGGGGGCCCGCACAAGCGGCGGAGCAUGCGGAUUAAUUCGAUGCAACGCGAAGAACCUUACUAAGGCUUGACAUAUACGAGAACACUACAGAAAUGUAGGACUCUUUGGACACUCGUAUACAGGUGGUGCAUGGUUGUCGUCAGCUCGUGUCGUGAGAUGUUGGGUUAAGUCCCGCAACGAGCGCAACCCUCGUCGCAUGUUGCCAGCACGUAAAGGUGGGAACUCAUGUGAGACUGCCGGGGUCAACUCGGAGGAAGGUGGGGAUGACGUCAAAUCAUCAUGCCCCUUAUGUCUUGGGCUUCACGCACGCUACAAUGGCCGGUACAAAGGGCUGCAAUACCGUAAGGUGGAGCGAAUCCCAAAAAGCCGGUCUCAGUUCGGAUUGAGGUCUGC
This 533-nucleotide ribosomal RNA is filed under the name uncultured bacterium. Its description in RNAcentral is "bacterial SSU rRNA". It matches the Rfam family "Bacterial small subunit ribosomal RNA", at positions 777 to 1308 of the family's 1533-position model. The record is from RNAcentral.